Molecule: ribosomal RNA, 370 nt
Filed under: Dinophyceae sp.
Lineage: Eukaryota; Dinophyceae
Description: partial small subunit ribosomal RNA
Rfam family: Eukaryotic small subunit ribosomal RNA
Source: RNAcentral
AUUCCAGCUCCAAUCGCGUAUAUUCAAAUUGUUGCGGUUACAAAGCUGAGCACGACCGGUCCGCCCUCUGGGUGAGAAUCUGGCUUGGACUUCGCAUCUUCUUGGAGAACGUAGCUGCACUUGAUUGUGUGGUGCGGUAUCCAGGUUUGUGAUCCGGAGGAAAUUAGUGUGUUUCAAGCAGGCACACGCCUUGAAUACAUUGGCAUGGAAUAAUAAGAUAGGACCUUGGUUUUAUUUUGUUGGUUUCUAGAGCUGAGGUAAUGAUUCAUAGGGAUCGCUGGGGGCAUUCGUAUUUAAUUGUGAGAGAUGAAAUUCUUGGAUUUGUUAAAGAGGGACUACUGUGAUUCAUUUACCAAGGAUGCUUUCAUUA